GCCAGCAUGACAUAGUGGUUUGAGUGUUGGACUAUGACACUAGAGACCAGGGUUCAAUUCCCUGCUGAGUCA
Molecule: non-coding RNA, 72 nt
Organism: Phrynosoma platyrhinos (Desert horned lizard)
Lineage: Eukaryota; Metazoa; Chordata; Lepidosauria; Squamata; Phrynosomatidae
Source: the annotation of a GenBank genome assembly